UGGGGAAUAUUGCACAAUGGGGGAAACCCUGAUGCAGCGACGCCGCGUGGAGGAUGACGGUUUUCGGAUUGUAAACUCCUGUUAAGUGGGAAGAAUGACCGUAGUUUAAUAAACUACGGGGGUGACGGUACCACUAGAGAAAGCACCGGCUAACUUCGUGCCAGCAGCCGCGGUAAUACGAGGGGUGCAAGCGUUAUUCGGAGUUACUGGGCGUAAAGAGCGCGUAGGCGGUUUGUUAGGUUGGUUGUUAAAUUCCUUGGCUCAACUGAGGAUCAGCAGCCGAAACUGGCGAACUAGAGGACAAGAGAGAGAGGUGGAAUUCUCGGAGUAGCGGUAAAAUGCGUAGAUCUCGAGAGGAAUAUCGGUUGCGAAGGCGGCCUCUUGGCUUGUAUCUGACGCUAAAGCGCGAAAGCGUGGGGAGCAAACAGG
This 429-nucleotide ribosomal RNA is filed under the name uncultured bacterium. Its description in RNAcentral is "bacterial SSU rRNA". It matches the Rfam family "Bacterial small subunit ribosomal RNA", at positions 355 to 776 of the family's 1533-position model. The record is from RNAcentral.